UUGUAAAAAAUUAUUUUUUACAGUAAUCUAAACAUUUACUGUAAUAAGACCAUGCAUAUGUCCCUAGACCUGGUUCUUUACCUACCUAGGUCUGGUCAGAAAUGAUGGUGAUAAGG
This 116-nucleotide small nucleolar RNA is filed under the name Sorex araneus (European shrew). Its description in RNAcentral is "Small nucleolar RNA SNORA72 (ENSSARG00000014676.1)". It matches the Rfam family "Small nucleolar RNA SNORA72". From Rfam's summary of the family: U72 is a member of the H/ACA class of snoRNAs. The record is from RNAcentral. Lineage: Eukaryota; Metazoa; Chordata; Mammalia; Eulipotyphla; Soricidae.